RNAcentral lists this ribosomal RNA (429 nucleotides) under uncultured bacterium. RNAcentral's name for it is "bacterial SSU rRNA". It matches the Rfam family "Bacterial small subunit ribosomal RNA", at positions 32 to 507 of the family's 1533-position model. The record is from RNAcentral.
AACGCUGGCGGCAUGCCUAACACAUGCAAGUCGAACGAGACCUUCGGGUCUAGUGGCGCACGGGUGCGUAACGCGUGGGAAUCUGCCCCUUGGUUCGGAAUAACAGCGAGAAAUUGCUGCUAAUACCGGAUAAUGACGUAAGUCCAAAGAUUUAUCGCCAAGGGAUGAGCCCGCGUAGGAUUAGCUAGUUGGUGUGGUAAAGGCGCACCAAGGCGACGAUCCUUAGCUGGUCUGAGAGGAUGAUCAGCCACACUGGGACUGAGACACGGCCCAGACUCCUACGGGAGGCAGCAGUGGGGAAUAUUGGACAAUGGGCGAAAGCCUGAUCCAGCAAUGCCGCGUGAGUGAUGAAGGCCUUAGGGUUGUAAAGCUCUUUUACCCGGGAUGAUAAUGACAGUACCGGGAGAAUAAGCUCCGGCUAACUCCGUG